UUAAAUUGAAGAGUUUGAUCAUGGCUCAGAUUGAACGCUGGCGGCAGGCCUAACACAUGCAAGUCGAACGGUAACAGAGAUCAGCUUGCUGAUU
Molecule: ribosomal RNA, 94 nt
Filed under: Escherichia coli
Lineage: Bacteria; Pseudomonadati; Pseudomonadota; Gammaproteobacteria; Enterobacterales; Enterobacteriaceae
Description: partial 16S ribosomal RNA
Rfam family: Bacterial small subunit ribosomal RNA
Source: RNAcentral